Molecule: non-coding RNA, 88 nt
Organism: Marchantia paleacea
Lineage: Eukaryota; Viridiplantae; Streptophyta; Marchantiopsida; Marchantiales; Marchantiaceae
Source: the annotation of a GenBank genome assembly
UGGAGGUAUAGCUCAGUGGUAGAGCAAUCGGCUGCAGUCCGAUAGGUCAUCAGUUCAAUCCUGGUUGCCUCCUACGUUGUACCCCCCG